Molecule: ribosomal RNA, 292 nt
Filed under: uncultured bacterium
Lineage: Bacteria
Description: partial 16S ribosomal RNA
Rfam family: Bacterial small subunit ribosomal RNA
Source: RNAcentral
GUGUCAGCCGCCGCGGUAAUACGUAGGGAGCGAGCGUUGUCCGGAAUCAUUGGGCGUAAAGAGCAUGUAGGUGGAUCAAUUAGUCUGCUGUGAAAGUCAAAGGCUCAACCUUUGAAAGCCGGUGGAUACUGUUGGUCUAGAGUACGGAAGAGGCGAGUGGAAUUCCUGGUGUAGCGGUGGAAUGCGCAGAUAUCAGGAGGAACACCAAUAGCGAAGGCAGCUCGCUGGGACGUUACUGACACUGAGAUGCGAAAGCGUGGGGAGCAAACAGGAUUAGAAACCCCCGUAGUCC